GCGUGGCUGUUCCAAUGGCAAGAUGCGGGCCUUCCAAGCCUGAGAUACGAGUUCGACUCUCGUGCCGCGCA
RNAcentral lists this transfer RNA (71 nucleotides) under Halogranum tailed virus 1. RNAcentral describes it as "Halovirus HGTV-1 tRNA". It matches the Rfam family "tRNA". Rfam says of the family: Transfer RNA (tRNA) molecules are approximately 80 nucleotides in length. Their secondary structure includes four short double-helical elements and three loops (D, anti-codon, and T loops). The record is from Rfam by way of RNAcentral. Lineage: Duplodnaviria; Heunggongvirae; Uroviricota; Caudoviricetes; Thumleimavirales; Halomagnusviridae.